CGCCGCCUCAGCAGCAGAGCAGCAGGUAGCAUGCGGGCCCUCUUUCAUGGAGGGAUGUUUGGCUGCCCUCUGCUGUUGCUGCCUUUUGGAUGCAUGCUUUUGAUUUGAGGGGAUUGGGCAUGAAUUGAUGAACCAACUGUGAGAUUGCCAAAUUGAUGAAGCAACAAUUCAGCCUGUGCCCGGUGUCAAUUCUUUGUUUUCAGGACUUUGUUCGUGGUGUUAUUGUACUUCCUUUUCAUUAGAGCGACAGUAUCUUCUUAUAUAAAAGCAUGUGUGAUAUAUUGAGAUUAUAUAUCAAAUCUAUUAUCAAAAGUAUACAUUUGCGUGUAGGGUUAUUAUGUUGGUUGCGUUAAUAUCUUCGGAUGCAUAAUUCUUUGAUA
Asparagus officinalis (garden asparagus) is the source of this 380-nucleotide long non-coding RNA. RefSeq lists it as uncharacterized. The record is from RefSeq and is a predicted model, not a curated record. The transcript is spliced from 2 exons. Lineage: Eukaryota; Viridiplantae; Streptophyta; Magnoliopsida; Asparagales; Asparagaceae.